CUGGAACUUACUACUGUCCUGUGGCUGCUUGUGGAAGGAUCAUUGUUGGAAAUGGAGCAUCAGUAGAACUGAGUCAUCAGCCUGUUCUAGUUGUUACCCUGGGAGUGGCGCUGGUCUUGUUCUUAAUCUGGAAUAUCACUCUAAUCUACUGGAGCUGGAGGAGAGAGAGCCGCAGUGGAGAAUAAUUUCGAGGGCUACUAUUUCAAUCUUUUAUAUUUGAAGAUGAAGAAAAAGGGACACAAGGAGAACAUUUUCACCCCAAGUGAGGUCCUUCCCUGCUACAGACCAAUUCAGAAAGACAACAUUGCUGAGAAAACAGGAAAAAUAAUAAGAAAAUGAGAAAAAAAUGUCCUACUGAAUUAAAGGUGCUGAUGUGAAGUGUCAGUGUUCUCUGGAUAUUUUUAAUAGCAUGAAGAGGGUGUUAAAUGUACCAAUUGAUGUUAAAUCUAAAGCAGAUAAAAUAUGUCAUUCUUAGAUCCUUUAUAUUAUAAGCUAAUAAUUUAAUGUUGCAUAAUUAUUUGGUAUCCAGUGAUGAUUCUUAACAUUUGUGGACUGCUGUUUUCCUCUGAGCUGUAAAGUUGUAGGCUUCCUAUAAACAGCACUUUCUGAGGUUCCUCUGUGUUCUGUGCAUCAUGCUUUAACAGUCAUGA
Molecule: long non-coding RNA, 650 nt
Organism: Pygocentrus nattereri (red-bellied piranha)
Lineage: Eukaryota; Metazoa; Chordata; Actinopteri; Characiformes; Serrasalmidae
Exons: 3
Source: RefSeq, a predicted model, not a curated record